This 253-nucleotide ribosomal RNA is filed under the name uncultured bacterium. Its description in RNAcentral is "partial 16S ribosomal RNA". It matches the Rfam family "Bacterial small subunit ribosomal RNA", at positions 524 to 776 of the family's 1533-position model. The record is from RNAcentral.
UACAGAGGGGGCAAGCGUUGUUCGGAUUUACUGGGCGUAAAGGGCGCGUAGGCGGCGCAACAAGUCAGUUGUGAAAUCUCUGGGCUUAACCCAGAGCGGUCAACUGAUACUGUCGUGCUAGAGUGCGGAAGGGGCAACUGGAAUUCUCGGUGUAGCGGUGAAAUGCGUAGAUAUCGAGAGGAACACCUGCGGCGAAGGCGGGUUGCUGGGCCGACACUGACGCUGAGGCGCGAAAGCUAGGGGAGCGAACGGG